This 231-nucleotide unclassified non-coding RNA is filed under the name Cladosporium delicatulum. RNAcentral describes it as "partial internal transcribed spacer region". The stretch from base 1 to 46 matches the Rfam family "Eukaryotic small subunit ribosomal RNA", at positions 1786 to 1831 of the family's 1831-position model. Lineage: Eukaryota; Fungi; Ascomycota; Dothideomycetes; Cladosporiales; Cladosporiaceae. RNAcentral also lists the same sequence under 5 other names. The record is from RNAcentral.
AAGUCGUAACAAGGUCUCCGUAGGUGAACCUGCGGAGGGAUCAUUACAAGUGACCCCGGUCUAACCACCGGGAUGUUCAUAACCCUUUGUUGUCCGACUCUGUUGCCUCCGGGGCGACCCUGCCUUCGGGCGGGGGCUCCGGGUGGACACUUCAAACUCUUGCGUAACUUUGCAGUCUGAGUAAACUUAAUUAAUAAAUUAAAACUUUUAACAACGGAUCUCUUGGUUCUG